GAAAAGUGACCUGGGCAGCAGAGUGAAGUGGACUGGAGUUGGGAGAGACAGGAGGCAAGGAGAUCAGUUGAGGAGGCAAGCUGCUGGUGGUAUGCUGUGGCCCUUCAUCACUGGGCAGAGAAGAACAGACCAUGGACUGUCAUCCCACCCUUCCCCCCAAUUCUGACACAAGCCACCUCUGAGAUUUCUCCAAAGGACUGAUCAGAAGAUCCCAAAUAAAAUAAUAAUAACAAUGA
Ornithorhynchus anatinus (platypus) is the source of this 236-nucleotide long non-coding RNA. RefSeq lists it as uncharacterized. NCBI's taxonomy places the organism in Eukaryota, Metazoa, Chordata, Mammalia, Monotremata, Ornithorhynchidae. The record is from RefSeq and is a predicted model, not a curated record. The transcript is spliced from 2 exons.